UGAUAAGCAUACUCCAGACAAGAUGUCAAAAGAUUUGGUAAUGUUGGUUGAGAUAUUCACCGGAAGAGAUCUACAAAACUUCAUAUACAAUGUGCCCAACGUACCUCAACAGCCCGAUAGUGAUAGUUGUGGUGCUUUCAUGUUGGACUUCAUGGAGAAAUGGGAUGGUUCACUCAGUCACCCAAAAGAGAAGG
Long non-coding RNA from Cornus florida, 194 nucleotides. RefSeq lists it as uncharacterized. Lineage: Eukaryota; Viridiplantae; Streptophyta; Magnoliopsida; Cornales; Cornaceae. The record is from RefSeq and is a predicted model, not a curated record. The transcript has 3 exons.